RNAcentral lists this long non-coding RNA (777 nucleotides) under Fukomys damarensis (Damara mole-rat). Its description in RNAcentral is "lncRNA (ENSFDAG00000030287.1)". Lineage: Eukaryota; Metazoa; Chordata; Mammalia; Rodentia; Bathyergidae. The record is from RNAcentral.
UGUAGGGCCAGGCCUGACCCCAGGACAGCAGCUGGCCACUGCUGGAGGAGCAGUGGGACAAAGCACAUUCCUGGGGGCAAUUUUCACUCUGGCAGGAAGAGAAGGAAAGUUUCUACUGUGGGGAAAGGCUGGAGGAAGGGCGCAGCACCCUCUUGCCUCAACCUGGUUCUGUACCCUUCUAGGCCAGAGGCCGCCUCCAGGAAGCCUUCUCUGAGGGAACCCAGAACUGGCGAGGACCAGCACACCUGCCACACCACUCACGGGGGCUGGCUCAGCUCUGAAGGAGAGGCUGCUGGCAACUGCAACAUGGGAAGGAGAGCUGGACAGAGAGGAGGACUUCCAGGGAGCCGAGACCCGGAGUCCAGGCACCUGGCACACAGGAGGAGUCCGGGGCAGGGCCAGGACCAACCCCCUCCCCAGACUGCUUGCCCCGGCCACACAUCUGUGCAAACACCCCUCCCCUCAGCUUGCCAGAGACAGACAGACAGGAGGAUGGCAAGGAGAGGGACUCCUCCAGGCUCUCGCAGGCUCCAGUGGGGGUGGCAGGAGCCUCAAGAUUUUCUUAUCUGUAGAGCAAGACAGAAAUUUCAAAGGAAUGGAAGAAUAAUAUAAUAAAACUAAGGGUUAUUAACAACUAUUAUUAUUAAUGAUUAUUCUUUAUUAUUGAGCUGUUACUAUGUGCUAAGAUAAUAUUAAGCCUUUUGUUAUUAACUCUUCUUCUUUAUUUUUUUUUUAGACAGGGUCUCACUAUGUAGUUCAGGCUGACCUUUAACUCAC